GACGAACGCUGGCGGCGUGCUUAACACAUGCAAGUCGAACGGAAAGGCUCUGCUUUUGUGGGGUGCUCGAGUGGCGAACGGGUGAGUAUCACGCGAGUAUCCUGCCCUUGACUUCGGGAUAACUUCAGGAAACUGGGGCUAUAACCGGCUAGGAGCUCCUGCUGCAUGGUGGGGGCUGGAAAGUUUCGGCGGUUGGGGAUGGACUCGCGGCUUAUCAGCUUGUAGGGGGGGUAGUGGCUUCCCAAGGCUUUGACGGAUAGCCGGCCUGAGAGGGGGGACGGCCCCAAGGAGACUCAGAUACGGCCCAGGCGAGUACAGUAGGAAGCGGUGGAGACUCUUACCGAACAAACGAGGGCCAGAUGUUAGGGCCCGGCGUGCGAGAAAUCGGACUACGAGUUGAAAACAGCUUUCUCCUGUAGUGGAGAGUUGUUGACGGUAAAGGGUAAAGAAGCAACGGCUAACUACGUG
RNAcentral lists this ribosomal RNA (468 nucleotides) under uncultured bacterium. RNAcentral's name for it is "partial 16S ribosomal RNA". It matches the Rfam family "Bacterial small subunit ribosomal RNA", at positions 28 to 507 of the family's 1533-position model. The record is from RNAcentral.